Molecule: long non-coding RNA, 456 nt
Organism: Drosophila gunungcola (fruit fly)
Lineage: Eukaryota; Metazoa; Arthropoda; Insecta; Diptera; Drosophilidae
Exons: 3
Source: RefSeq, a predicted model, not a curated record
UUAAAAAAGACAGGCUCUGGUCUGAAAGGAACACAAAAAGAAAGGAAAGCAAGGAAAAGGAAAGUGACAAGGAGGCGCACAUUUUCGUUACCUAUUUGAUGCUCGUUUUCUUCGUUUGAUCGGAAAAGCCCAAAGGAAAAGCGUUGUACACCGAAUAAGGAAAAAGGAAACAACUUUCAGCAACAACAAUAAUGCAGAUGAAAACUAACGAUACGGAAAAGUAAACGCACUGCAAUCCGAAGAGAGAAAUGGAGUCUCGUCGAGACUUGGUCCGUUUCCGUUUCCUGUCUGCCAUCGUCGCCAUCUUUGGGUGUGGUGCGUACUACGCACUAGCCCACCAUCCUCUUCAUGUACUUGGCAUUAAUGCACUGACAAUUGUUUGGAUAAGAGCAAGUGAGCCACUUAAAUUAAUUUAAUGUUCUCACUCAGAUCAUUCGCGGUUUCGAGUGGCGAAAU